Molecule: non-coding RNA, 27 nt
Filed under: Mus musculus (house mouse)
Lineage: Eukaryota; Metazoa; Chordata; Mammalia; Rodentia; Muridae
Source: RNAcentral
UGAAAAGUGAUAGGAAAUAUUGUGGGA